AAUUCGGACAUUCGUGGAAUUCGAUAACAAUCUAAUAAGAAAAAACGUUUCUGUGACAUUCAGAUCGGAAGAAUUUAAAUAUCAAUAUAUCAUCAUACUAUAUAUGAUUCAGUAUUGGAGCGAAGAUCUAAAUCGGACAAUUCAAAUAAAUAUCACGAAUGCUGUUCUUUUGUUAAUUUCAAUGUGUCCACCAUGGACGAGAAUCCGAUACCUCUAUUACUCGUCAUCCCGUUUUCAUUUGGUGUGAAUAUAUUGGAUGUAGAUUUACAGAUAGGUAUUGAACUUGAUACACAAAUUAUGUAUAGAGAUAUCGUUUACUCAGCAUUGGAACAUAAAAUAUAUGGAAUCAAUGACCAGUCAGAGCUAAUAACAUCGGAUUUUAAUCCAACCGCAAUUCAAACAAAUCGAACAAUAGCAAAGCUCAAUGACACUGCACAUCAUCUCUGCUUUGAUUGGAUUCAUAGGAAACUUUAUUGGGUACAAGAAUGCACAACGGGAAUCUGCAUUAUAAAGCUAGACUUAACAUUGUUGGAACAAAUAGGCAUAAUAGAAUAUGAUGAAAUAAAUAUAUCCAAGAAACGACAUCUAGUACUGUUUUUACAUGUACUGCCAUCAUCAGGAUAUAUGUAUUGGUUACUGGCUGGCUCGUCAGAAGUAAUGCGAUCGGAUUUAGAUGGAAAAACAUGAAAACUCUUAGAAAAGACAAUAAAUGCUUUCGUAACGAACUACAUCUAGAGUCCUACUGGACCUUACAGACUGAUACAACAAAUAUUGAGCCGUUAUUAUAUUGGAGUCGUUACAGUAACUUUGUCAUAACAGAUAUUGAUGGUUGUAAAUAUUACAAGAUUUCAAACUUUAGCCACAAUUACAUGCAUUUAACGUUUGACAAAACAAACAUUUACUUGUACAGUCGAUACAAUUAUAUGAUUUACAUUUAUAAAAAAAUAUAUCCUCUUUUCGAAAACAAAGAACAUAAAUUGGAAUAUGUACGUAGAAUACGUUACCGAGAAAAUGUUGCUUAUCUCAAUAAAUUUAUAUCACUUGAUAAAACUUUACAAACAUAUCCCCAGACAAAAUGUUUGUUACCUAACAUGACAAAUUAUCGUAUUGAAGUGUUAAAUAAAACCAUACACAGUAUCACCGUAAGCCUUCCAGAUCCGAUUCUCAAUGACGGAUGCAAAAGUACGACUUACCAUCUACUAUAUAUAACAUCUCCAGGAGUUAUUCAACAUGUUUGGACAAUGGCAGUAACAAGUUCGAGCAAUUCAAUGUCACUAUAUACAAACGACAUUACGAAUUCAAGAAUUUAAUGCCGUUCACAGAAUAUACGCUGAAGCUAGCACUGAGCAAUUUUUACGUCCGCAAGUUAUCAAUGGACUUGCAAUUCGGCUCGGAUGUGAAAGUGAUAACUACCGGAAAGCUCGACAUGCCAGAAGAUGUGACGGUUCAAGUUUUAACGCCAACGUUAGCGAUAGUUUAUUGGAUGCCAUCCAAGAAAUUAAACUGCGUGACAGUGACCUACGAGGUGCAUUGGAUGCAAUUUUCAAAUAAAACGCAAGAAAUAAUACAAAAAUCUUCCAUCACAAAACUUAUCGAUACGCUCGAACGUACAACAGAUGGAAAGCUUUUCACGACAAUCGGGUCGCUGCUGUCAAAACAUAAUUAUCAGAUAUAUGUGCGUGUAUAUCCAUACAAUUUUAGUCAAUUCUUCACUGACAGUUUAAACAAAACAAUCUACAUGUCAGAACCGAAUAAUUUAAGUUUAAUCGGAGUCAGUACAAAUAGUAUGGAUAUCUCAUGGAUUUCUGGCGUCAAUUUGACGAUGCACACGAAAUUCCGUCCCAUACUGGAAUACAAAGAAGAUGCGAUGUGGGAAUGGCAAAUGGUGAAUAUCAGUGAAAGAAAUAAUAAUAAAAUAAUAUAUUAUAUAAAAAAUUUAUUGCCGCAAACUUUAUACAAUUUUCGUUUGAUCCUGAAAUAUCCCGAAUACAUGGACGACUUUGUAUAGCCUGAAAAAGGAUUUAGAUUUGGAAAUCAUGGUAAUGUACCAAGUGCUUCUGGGAGACCCAUUGUAACAAAACUUCCAAAUUUGACGUAUCAAUUAAACUGGGAACAUGCGCAAGCUCAUGAUUCACCAGUGAUUUUGUAUCGACUGGAGGGUUUAAUUGUCGAAAAUAAUGACAAAGAAGUCAAUCGAAUCGACAAAAUCAAUCAUUGGAAUUUAUACUAUAAUGGAACAAAUAAUUAUUGCUGGAUAACGACGAAAGAAAUGAAUGAGAAAUAUCUUUUUCGUGUGCAGGCUACAAAUGCUUAUGGUUCUGGGAAAUGGAGCGGCGAAUCAAGAGUCGUUGAUUUAACAUCAAAUCUGAAAUUAAAUAAGAACGAAAUAUUAACUGUGCAAUACGUAACGUUAAUAUUAAGCAUUAUCGCUACCAUCGUAAUCUAUAAUGUUUACUACUUUUACUGCUGUAAGCACUGGCAACGCAAAAAAAGUAAACAAAUAAUUAGGCCCUCAAUAAUUAAUAUCAAAUCAACAACCGCGAACGAAACAUCUUUCAUAAACUAUGAACUCCACUCUGUGCACGAUCCUAAAUUGCAAAGUGAUAUCAACGAAUUUGCAAGUAUAAUAAUCGAUAAAAAACAAAUCACUCUAGAAAAUCUUCUAGGCAGCGGUGCAUUUGGAGAGGUAUAUCGAGGAGUCAAAAAUGGAGAAGGUUCGGAAAUAAUGCCUGUCGCCAUUAAGAUGCUACGAAAAAUGCUACCUGGCAAAAGAAACAAGAAUUCUUGGAAGAGGCUAAAAUUAUGAAAGAAUUUGACCACUGUUGGGCAUCUGUAUUACCGAGAAUCAACCAUGGCUGAUAUUGGAAUUAAUGGAAGUUGGUGACU
Molecule: non-coding RNA, 2886 nt
Organism: Nylanderia fulva
Lineage: Eukaryota; Metazoa; Arthropoda; Insecta; Hymenoptera; Formicidae
Source: RefSeq, a predicted model, not a curated record